Molecule: transfer RNA, 73 nt
Filed under: Pseudomonadota bacterium
Lineage: Bacteria; Pseudomonadati; Pseudomonadota
Also listed under: 4 other names
Description: tRNA-Phe
Rfam family: tRNA
About the family: Transfer RNA (tRNA) molecules are approximately 80 nucleotides in length.
Source: RNAcentral
GGCCAGGUAGCUCAGUUGGCAGAGCAGCAGACUGAAAAUUUGCGUGUCGGGUGUUCGAUUCACCCCCUGGCCA